This 253-nucleotide ribosomal RNA is filed under the name uncultured bacterium. RNAcentral describes it as "partial 16S ribosomal RNA". It matches the Rfam family "Bacterial small subunit ribosomal RNA", at positions 524 to 776 of the family's 1533-position model. The record is from RNAcentral.
UACGUAGGGGGCAAGCGUUGUUCGGAAUUACUGGGCGUAAAGGGCGCGUAGGCGGCACAGCAAGUCGGGUGUGAAAUCUCGGGGCUUAACUCCGAAACUGCAUUCGAUACUGCCGUGCUUGAGGACUGGAGAGGAGACUGGAAUUUACGGUGUAGCGGUGAAAUGCGUAGAUAUCGUAAGGAAGACCAGUGGCGAAGGCGGGUCUCUGGACAGUUCCUGACGCUGAGGCACGAAGGCCAGGGGAGCAAACGGG